RNAcentral lists this ribosomal RNA (1037 nucleotides) under Steindachneria argentea (luminous hake). RNAcentral describes it as "partial 16S ribosomal RNA". It matches the Rfam family "Bacterial large subunit ribosomal RNA", at positions 846 to 2519 of the family's 2925-position model. Lineage: Eukaryota; Metazoa; Chordata; Actinopteri; Gadiformes; Steindachneriidae. The record is from RNAcentral.
UAGCUGGUUGCCUGGGAAUGAAUAGGAGUUCAGCCCUUUAAUAUAUUCCCGUAUCACAAUUGCUCUUAUACUCAUAUAGACACCGGAAACUUAAAGGAGUUAGUCGAAAGGGGUACAGCCCUUUUGAUAGAAGAAACAACUUUUACAGGUGAUUUAGGAUCAUACAAAUUAAGGACCUCAAACUAAGUGGGCUUAAAAGCAGCCAUCUUAAAAGAAAGCGUUCCAGCUCCAACUAAUACUCGUCCUCCGAUACCGAUAAAUUUAUCCUUUCCCCUACCCCCUACCAGGCUCUCUUAUGCCCCCAUAAGAGUAAUCAUGCUAAAAUGAGUAAUAAGAAGAAUAUAAUUCUUCUCCUAGCACAUGUGUAAGUUGGAACGGACCCCUACCAACUGUUAAUCGACCCCAACCCCAGAGGGCCAUAAGCCAGAAAUACAAGAAAUACGCUUAUACCACAAUCGUUAACCCAACACAGGCGUGCACUAAGGAAAGACUAAAAGAAAGGGAAGGAACUCGGCAAACCCAAGCCUCGCCUGUUUACCAAAAACAUCGCCUCUCGACCACUAAACAUGAGAGGUCCAGCCUGCCCUGUGACAUAGUUUAACGGCUGCGGUAUUUUGACCGUGCAAAGGUAGCGUAAUCACUUGUCUUUUAAAUGGAGACCUGUAUGAAUGGCAUCACGAGGGCUUAGCUGUCUCCCCUCUCCAGUCAAUGAACUUGACCUCCCCGUGCAGAGGCGGGGAUUAGUACAUAAGACGAGAAGACCCUGUGGAGCUUUAGAUCUAGAAUAAACCAUGUAAAACAAGCUGUAAUACCAGCAUAAACCAAUUGGUACCUAUUCAAAUGUCUUUGGUUGGGGCAACCGCGGAGAAAAAUUUAACCUCCAUGUGGACCGGGGGUACUACCCCUAAAACUCAGAACCACCAUUCCAAGAAACAGAACUUCUGACCCUUUGAUCCGGUAUAACCGCUCAACGAACCGAGUUACCCCAGGGAUAACAGCGCAAUCCCCUCUUAGAGACCCUAUCAACGAGGGGGUUU